Harpia harpyja (harpy eagle) is the source of this 2582-nucleotide long non-coding RNA. RefSeq lists it as uncharacterized. The record is from RefSeq and is a predicted model, not a curated record. The transcript is spliced from 7 exons. Lineage: Eukaryota; Metazoa; Chordata; Aves; Accipitriformes; Accipitridae.
UUACUCACCACAGGGAAGCUGGAAACCAGAUGCCAAUUCUGUUUUACUGCUCAGAGGGGUGAUGAACAAUUUCAGAGCGUUCUUAAGACCAUGCCUUCAUGGAGCGUGAUCUGACUAUAGUGGGAUGCCAUGUACGCUGGGGAGGCAGGAGGAGGAUCAGCAGUAGUAGAAUCACAAACCUGUGUUUUCAUUCUCCCUUGUAAGGAUUCCAGCCAAAUGCAAUAGCAGAUGCUUUUUGGUUUCUAGUGGAGCCAUUGGAGUUAAAUUCUUGGGCAUAGGAGUCAAACUCCUCUGGUUUCAGCAGGCCUGCGUUUAAGCAGCUGAAAGUAAAACCUGGCCCAUCUUUUUGAGGGAGAAAGCUAUUCAUCUCAAAAGGAUUUAUCGGAAGGGGACAGGAACACCAAAACGCAUCUCAGCGCUUCAAGGAAAAGAACGGAAAAUAGCCACGGACCAUAGGCAAAUGGACACUGAUGGAAAGGAAAGAAGAAGACUGCAAAGCUGAAGAACAGAGAGAUGUCUAAGAAGAUGGAGAGGGCCACUGGGCAACGUAGAGAAAAGACACAGCCUGUAACGCUGUCAAGGCUUUAUGCAGCAUUUUGUCUGGGUUUUGUUUGGCUCCUCGGACACAAACCAGCCACAGCAAUGCGAGAACAGACCGUCUUCUAUGGCCAAAAAGAAUUAGAGUCUCCAUCAAUACCUGGAGGAUGACUUUGAUGGCAGCACCCAAUCUGGCACCAGCACGUGGAAAUGCACUGCAGCUGCGCAGUUAGUCCUCAUGGAUGUGGGGAAAAUCCUCCUUUUUCUCCCCCAGUUUCAAAAGCAUGAGAUCCAUCACUGGCCACUUGGUAAGGCUGGAUGGCUCCGCAGCACGUGGUGGGAAAAAGAGGUGGCAGGAGAGAGCAUGCUUGAGAAGCAAUCAGUAAAUGGCUCUGAGGAGGAAACAUCCCUGCCCAUCACCGUAUAGAACAGAUGGGUGCAUGAAGGCUGAUGUGGUUCUGCAUAUCAUCAAGAUACAUGAUUCUGCACCAGAGGAACCUGGUUCAAGCAGAAAGACACCCAAGAUGCUGAAGUAACAAGGAGUAAUUUAUCCAAAGUCAUCUAGGACGCUAAGAGUGAAUUGCAGCCAGAUCAGAAGACUGAAUCAAAGAGCAUCUCUUAUCUCCCUUUGGAUUUUCGGUGAUCCUUGAUAGCCGAGAAAGCUGGGUGACAGCUAGAUCAUGACAGUAAAGAGAAAUGGAGAUGGGAGUAUUGGAGAUGAAACAAGGAGUCGGAACAGUGAAAAGAAGAGAUGCUUUUGGAAGAGCAGAGUGGCCAGUUCUGGUUUUACCUAGUUAAUUGUCUUCCAGCAAAGCCUGACUCUCUGUUAAUGCCAACAGUCGUAGCUGGAUGGAGGAUGCUAGUGAGUGUAUAAUGGCAGCUGCUUUUCCCUUGCAGUCUUUAUUACAAAGAUCUCAUUCUUGCCCUUAUGGGACCUAUCGAAAUCCUGAGUAUGGCAAGUGCCGGAGAACCAACCACUGUUGACAACUGGCUGGUCGUAGCAGGACACGAAAACCUUCAUUGCUUGGAGUUGGGUGAUUCAAGUAGCCUCCACGAUGUCUUGUCUUGGGCUGAACCAUCUACUGAGGGGAAAAGAAACAGAGGCACAGAUUUUAUGUCAGAAGAAGCUUUGAAGUAGUCUAUUAUAUGAAGAAUCAUCUGCAGACCCUUAAACAGGCGUAUUAUGCGAUAGACCUGCGGUGACACCUUUCCUCCCUCUGGCUGCAUAUCCAGGCAGCAGCACCCAAAUGGAGCCAGAGGAGCAGAAAAGGCCGCGGCAGCUGAAAGGGAGAGGCAGGACAGACGGAAAAGCCAGAGGGAUUUGCUGGAAAAGGGAAACAAAACCAAGGGCAGGGAAGAUGAGGCAUCCUCAGCCCAGAAGUAAAGGAGAAACAGGUUGUGAAAGUGGUCUAAAAAGAAGCAAGUGAACUGCGCUGCAGAGCCUAUGCAUUGUUCCUCUGUUGAUGGCUCGGGUCCAUGGCUUUUCUGCUGUCUCCAAAUCCUCUAUCUGGUUCAUGAUAUCAUUUUCCAGGCUGUGUCUUCACCUGGCAUGGAACAUUGACCACCAAGCCUCUGUCCUGUCCAACUAGCAAGUCACCUAGGACCAGCCACUUGGUAUUUUGAUCCCUUUCCCACGUUUCUUACCUGCUCAGUGCAGGAUUUGGCAUUUGCUUAUGUUAAACUACUUGAUGUUCUUGUCAGCCUGCCCAUCUUUCUCGCCCUCCACGAUAUCAACUGUUCCCCCCCCCCCCCCCCCAGUCUGAUACAAUCAGACAAUCUCUAUAAAGGUGCAUUUCUCCCAUUUCCCCUCUUGGAAGUGAAGGCAUUUAAAUAGCCCUGGCACCAGCACAGACACCUUUAGGAAUGCAUCUUGUAACCGGCUACUUUUUGAGCACGCCACGACGAGGAGGUCGAUAGAUCCGGUCAAAAGGAUUUCGUCCUGUGCCUACGGCUGCACCAACGCUCUAUUACAGCCCAGAAUUUAUUCCAGUCUGGGCAGCUGAAGAUGCCAGGCACCCGCUUGUUGCCGGGGCCCGAAGUUUCCU